Molecule: ribosomal RNA, 253 nt
Filed under: uncultured bacterium
Lineage: Bacteria
Description: partial 16S ribosomal RNA
Rfam family: Bacterial small subunit ribosomal RNA
Source: RNAcentral
UACAGAGGGUGCAAACGUUGCUCGGAAUUAUUGGGCGUAAAGCGCACGUAGGCGGUUCGUCAAGUCGGGUGUGAAAUCCCUCAGCUCAACUGAGGACGUGCAUUCGAAACUGACAAACUUGAGUAUGGAAGAGGGUCGCGGAAUUCCCGGUGUAGAGGUGAAAUUCGUAGAUAUCGGGAGGAACACCAGUGGCGAAGGCGGCGACCUGGGCCAAUACUGACGCUGAGGUGCGAAAGCGUGGGGAGCAAACAGG